Long non-coding RNA from Labrus mixtus (cuckoo wrasse), 2943 nucleotides. RefSeq lists it as uncharacterized. The record is from RefSeq and is a predicted model, not a curated record. NCBI's taxonomy places the organism in Eukaryota, Metazoa, Chordata, Actinopteri, Labriformes, Labridae. The transcript is spliced from 2 exons.
UUUGCGUCUUUUUCCACUUUAAUAACGUUUCCUGUACUGGUAGUGAUGUUGUGUUAAGUAUUAAGAAGGAUUUCUCUCCUUCUGGGAUCCGUGGGUUAAUGGAUCACAAAUCUGACGCUUCAGAUCGGAUCACAGAUUUUUGUCAAGGAUCAGAAUCGGAAAAUUAUAUUGAUAACAUAAACAUGACUCAAACUGUGCAUCUUAAUAAAGUAUCACAUUCUCAAAGUUCUUCACCUCUAAAUCUGACUUCAUCAUAAACUGAACCUUUCAGCACGUGAUGCAGACUCCAAAAACAUCCCCCCCCCCUCAGCCCUGCAGAGGUACCAAAUCUCGACAUGAUUGUAGUUGAUCGCAGUGCCCUUUAGUCGUCAAGUGUUUGAACGAUGUUGUGGGGAUUCUGUCAGUGUCAUACCUGUAACGGUACUUUAAAAAAAAAAAAAAUCUCAAAAGAGUGUCUUGAUGUUUGCUGUCACCUGCUUUGCUUUGACACUGCCACUUAAACACUCAGCCAAAGCUGCGUUGAAGUGAAUGGAGAAGCUGUUUGUGUGUGUGUGUGUGUGUGUGUGUGUGUGUGUGUGUGUGUGUGUGUGUGUGUGUGUGUGUGUGUGUGUGUGUGUGUGUGUAACAAAUCCUGCGAGAGUGUGUCUGUGUGUGUGAUGAUACAAAUCAAUGUCUGAAAUGUGUUUAUUGAUGUUGUAAUAACUGCAGUUUUUUUGAUCCGAGUUUAACUGUUGAACCUUCUUGUACUAGCCGUGUGUGUGUGUGUGUGUGUGUGUGUGUGUGUGUGUGUGUGUGUGUGUGUGUGUGUUUUUCCACAAGCCGCACAAGUUGCAGUAGCAGCAACGUGAUGAACAAGCACAGUUAAUUUUGAACUAAUUGUUUAGCUUGAGUCCAGCUGUAGGUCUGUGGAGCGUUUUCGCUGGUUUGUAACACAGGUUUUCAUUCAACAGAUACAUUUACAUGAAAUUCCUUCCUACACUGGGUUGAAAAAAAUAAUCACUUUUUCUUGUGGAUACACAGUUUUUACGUGUUUAUUUGUUAACACUUUACAGCUGCUCCUUACGUUUUGGUGUAUGUGUUCAUAACAAUAGAAAAGCCUGAGAAAUACCCCGUUUCAAAAUGUAAAGUGUUAACCUUUUCUCAUUUCUAAACCACAACAUUUGUACGAUUUAAAUUGUAAUAUAUGAAGAAAUUUGCCAGUUUGGCGUUUUAGUGUUCUUCAGCUGCAGCAUUGUUUAUUAGCCGUCAUAACGUGAUGACCUGAUCCAGUGUUUUGUUUCUUUUAAACUUGUGUAAAUCCAGUUUUUUGCUUCAUAAUGAAUUAUUUUCAAAGGCUUCACAUUCACAUAAAACAGAGUUAUUAUUGUUAGUUAUACCAGGGGAGAUAACGGUGAUGUCUUUAGUGAUUGGCAUUACCUGACUGUCAAACAUUCCCAGUUUUAAAGAAUAGUUUUCUCGUGACCUCACUCACUAAAGCCCUGUUUCCACCAAGCGGUCCGGUUCAUUUCGGUUCGGUACGGUACCCAUUUAUUGGCAUUUCCACUGUCAAAAGUUAGGAAUGGUACCAAAAUAAGAGAUCUGUACCGUCCUACUUUUUUGGUACCCUUCUGUUUGGGUGCCAAGGUUACCGAUCCGACCCUAAACAGUCCCUUUUGUUUACUGUGUCCCUGUUCUUCUUCUUGAACGUUUAACUUAAUUAAUAGUGAGCUACACUGUGUUGGGCUGCUAUGAUGUCACAUUGUUACAUAGCUGACGCGGCUAUCUCCAUCUGGCUAACACUCCGCUUACAGAAUAAGGGUUCAAGCAAGUUCAGGGUUUAACGUACCGCACUGUACUGAACCAAACCGGACUGCUUGGUGGAAACGGGGCUUUAAUUGAAAGCGUACCUGGCGGUAAAGGAAGGUUUUAAAAUGCUGCGCGCCCUCGGAAAGGCUACAGCUCUCAUUUGCCAGCUACGUGUUUUGGCUGGUGUGUAAAGGGAAGGAUUGAAGCAUAUAUAUGUUAACAUCCCGAAGUGAAGUUCUGACAAGGACCUUUCUAUUUUUAACUCUUCAGAUGAUGUCGUGAGGUGCCCAAAACUCGCAGUUUAUCUCGUUUUAAUGUCGAAUUCAGACGAGGGCACCCUCUCCGUCGUCGUGUAAACCGGCAAUAUGCUGUUCCUCUGAAAACUGUGACUUUUUGCAAAUUAGGUGGACUACAACAAAAACGGGCCUCACCGCUCAGGAGAAGGAAGAGUGUGUGAGCGUUCAGGUGUUGUUUCAUCUCGAAAUCACACCGUCGUCUACUGGUGUGUUCACUUUCCGUAGAUCUUUUAGCCCUCCACGUUAGCCACCUUACUACAAACUUUGAGUCAUACUUUGUUUUUGUUUCUUAUUUAUACCCAUUAUUUAUAUUAUUCACCAAAUGCAUUUAUUUUUAUUCCAUCUAGCUACAAUAAUUAUCCUACAGAGACCACUGAUUGGAAGUCGCCCCAGGUGUAACUGACAAGAAGUCUGUUUUUGUGAAGAUAAUUUAAGAACUAUUUGUGUGAUAAUGUUUUGAACUGUAGUCUUUUCCAAUUAUGUUUUUCCUUCUUUAUAUAAGGUUUAAACUAUUUUCACUACACUCAGCUUCGUUCUCGACCAACACUGAGCCGACCCCGCUGCCACGUCCGUAAUUCACCUUCACGAUCCGUCACAAUGUUCACAUUUUCAGUCACAAUGAACCCCUGAUCACGUCAUCUCAAAGCCACCGUUCUCGUGAAGCUGUGUUAAAUGUGGCUCUAUAGCAGUGUUGUUUGUGAUCACAGUGUUGGAUGUACAGCAACAGACACCACAGCUCAAUUCUCAUAAGUAAAAGAAGAAAACCUGUUGGUGGACUUGAGGGCAGUUAUGUGGAUUGUAACUGUAAUGAGGAACAAGUAUUUGCUUGUAAAAUCAAAAUAAACCAUUCUUGCUGUUUGAA